GAUGAACGCUGGCGGCGUGCCUAAUACAUGCAAGUCGAGCGAACGGACGAGAAGCUUGCUUCUCUGAUGUUAGCGGCGGACGGGUGAGUAACACGUGGAUAACCUACCUAUAAGACUGGGAUAACUUCGGGAAACCGGAGCUAAUACCGGAUGAUAUUUUGAACCGCAUGGUUCAAAAGUGAAAGACGGUCUUGCUGUCACUUAUAGAUGGAUGCGCGCUGCAUUAGCUAGUUGGUAAGGUAACGGCUUACCAAGGCAACGAUGCAUAGCCGACCUGAGAGGGUGAUCGGCCACACUGGAACUGAGACACGGUCCAGACUCCUACGGGAGGCAGCAGUAGGGAAUCUUCCGCAAUGGGCGAAAGCCUGACGGAGCAACGCCGCGUGAGUGAUGAAGGUCUUCGGAUCGUAAAACUCUGUUAUUAGGGAAGAACAUAUGUGUAAGUAACUGUGCACAUCUUGACGGUACCUAGUCAGAAAGCCACGGCUAACUACGUGCCAGCAGCCGCGGUAAUACGUAGGUGGCAAGCGUUAUCCGGAAUUAUUGGGCGUAAAGCGCGCGUAGGCGGUUUUUUAAGUCUGAUGUGAAAGCCCACGGCUCAACCGUGGAGGGUCAUUGGAAACUGGAAAACUUGAGUGCAGAAGAGGAAAGUGGAAUUCCAUGUGUAGCGGUGAAAUGCGCAGAGAUAUGGAGGAACACCAGUGGCGAAGGCGACUUUCUGGUCUGUAACUGACGCUGGUGUGCGAAAGCGUGGGGAUCAAACAGGAUUAGAUACCCUGGUAGUCCACGCCGUAAACGAUGAGUGCUAAGUGUUAGGGGGUUUCCGCCCCUUAGUGCUGCAGCUAACGCAUUAAGCACUCCGCCUGGGGAGUACGACCGCAAGGUUGAAACUCAAAGGAAUUGACGGGGACCCGCACAAGCGGUGGAGCAUGUGGUUUAAUUCGAAGCAACGCGAAGAACCUUACCAAAUCUUGACAUCCUUUGACAACUCUAGAGAUAGAGCCUUCCCCUUCGGGGGACAAAGUGACAGGUGGUGCAUGGUUGUCGUCAGCUCGUGUCGUGAGAUGUUGGGUUAAGUCCCGCAACGAGCGCAACCCUUAAGCUUAGUUGCCAUCAUUAAGUUGGGCACUCUAAGUUGACUGCCGGUGACAAACCGGAGGAAGGUGGGGAUGACGUCAAAUCAUCAUGCCCCUUAUGAUUUGGGCUACACACGUGCUACAAUGGACAAUACAAAGGGCAGCGAAACCGCGAGGUCAAGCAAAUCCCAUAAAGUUGUUCUCAGUUCGGAUUGUAGUCUGCAACUCGACUACAUGAAGCUGGAAUCGCUAGUAAUCGUAGAUCAGCAUGCUACGGUGAAUACGUUCCCGGGUCU
RNAcentral lists this ribosomal RNA (1372 nucleotides) under uncultured bacterium. RNAcentral's name for it is "bacterial SSU rRNA". It matches the Rfam family "Bacterial small subunit ribosomal RNA", at positions 28 to 1381 of the family's 1533-position model. The record is from RNAcentral.